GACGAACGCUGGCGGCGUGCCUAAUACAUGCCAGUCGAGCGGACGGAUGGGAGCUUGCUCCCAGACCGUCAGCGGCGGACGGGUGAGUAACACGUGGGCAACCUGCCUGUAAGACUGGGAUAACUCCGGGAAACCGGGGCUAAUACCGGAUAACUCUUUCCCUCACAUGAGGGAAAGCUGAAAGAUGGCAUCUCGCUAUCACUUACAGAUGGGCCCGCGGCGCAUUAGCUAGUUGGUGAGGUAACGGCUCACCAAGGCGACGAUGCGUAGCCGACCUGAGAGGGUGAUCGGCCACACUGGGACUGAGACACGGCCCAGACUCCUACGGGAGGCAGCAGUAGGGAAUCUUCCGCAAUGGACGAAAGUCUGACGGAGCAACGCCGCGUGAGUGAUGAAGGUUUUCGGAUCGUAAAACUCUGUUGUCAGGGAAGAACAAGUACCGGAGCAACUGCCGGUACCUUGACGGUACCUGACCAGAAAGCCACGGCUAACUACGUG
This 498-nucleotide ribosomal RNA is filed under the name uncultured bacterium. RNAcentral describes it as "partial 16S ribosomal RNA". It matches the Rfam family "Bacterial small subunit ribosomal RNA", at positions 28 to 507 of the family's 1533-position model. The record is from RNAcentral.